Transfer RNA from Botryobasidium botryosum FD-172 SS1, 73 nucleotides. It matches the Rfam family "tRNA". Rfam says of the family: Transfer RNA (tRNA) molecules are approximately 80 nucleotides in length. Their secondary structure includes four short double-helical elements and three loops (D, anti-codon, and T loops). Lineage: Eukaryota; Fungi; Basidiomycota; Agaricomycetes; Cantharellales; Botryobasidiaceae. The record is from Rfam.
GGGCAAAUAGCUCAGUUGGUAGAGCGCACGCUUCGCAUGCGUGAGGUCUUGGGUUCGAUUCCCAAUUUGUCCA